This is a long non-coding RNA of Triticum aestivum (bread wheat), 678 nucleotides long. RefSeq lists it as uncharacterized. The record is from RefSeq and is a predicted model, not a curated record. Lineage: Eukaryota; Viridiplantae; Streptophyta; Magnoliopsida; Poales; Poaceae. The transcript has 3 exons.
UAGCCAUGGCGUCUUCACCUCUUUCUCUCCCUCUAGUGCUAACCACAGUCAUCCUUUCGACUUGCCACCAACACGAAACUUACAGAGGAACGUAAGGAAAACCCAUUCAGAGAAUUAAAACCCAACAUUAUGGCCAUAAAUCGCCGAAUUGAUCCGUGAAACGUACAUGCACAAACAUCCAUUAAUGGCCAUGUUAAGCUCCCUUGAUCUCCCCGUACCGGCUUCCACUGCCAUUAUAAAUAGACCCCGAGGAGAGCCCUCAGCCCUAACACCUUCCAGACCCAAAAGCCCUCUCCCUCUCGUCUCAAAACCGGAGAAUUUGUCGCCGGACCCGAGCUUCGUUGUCGCCGUCCGUUGACGAUCACGUCGCCUUCGCCAGGUCGCACGAACGACGGCACCCGAGCUCCACCAUCGUUCUACCUGCAGCCGCUGCCCACGUCCUCCAGUGGACGAGAUCCACAGCGCCAAUACCCUAUCGUCUUUGUCUCAUCGUCAGGAAAGGCGACGUGAACCUCCUCGUGCACAAUCGAGCCACGCGUCGUCGCCCCGACCAACUCCGGCGACCGGACCACCUCUCCCCGAUAUUUCGUAAAGUGAAGGAGCGACGAUAACAAGUGAAGAAUCAACUUCAAGACACAGGCAAGUUGCAAUUUGAUCAUGCCCUGACCUAUAUUUUCA